Manihot esculenta (cassava) is the source of this 2643-nucleotide RNA transcript. It is a transcript of the gene named plant intracellular Ras-group-related LRR protein 4, with no coding region annotated. The record is from RefSeq and is a predicted model, not a curated record. Lineage: Eukaryota; Viridiplantae; Streptophyta; Magnoliopsida; Malpighiales; Euphorbiaceae. The transcript is spliced from 6 exons.
UUUUUUAAUGAUUUAAUCAAAUUAUCUUUAAAAGGAAAAUAAUUUAUUAUAUAUAAAAAUCAGAAUCCGCCAAAUCACAACAGCAAGGUGCGAGGAGGAGAAGCAGAAGCAUAGUAUUAUGGGAAGAGAAUAGCUGGAUUUCAGAGAAGACGACGCAGGAGACUCUGGAUUUCAGGCCAACCUCUUUACUCAUUUCUUAACUACCUAACUUAAACCCUUAGCCUUAUCUCUAUCUCUACCAAUUUUUUCUUGCUUUCGUUUUAUUAACAUUGGCGAAUUCUGUUCUGGUUUAUGCAAAUUCAUUCGCUUUCAAGUUUCAGUACCGCCAAAACAAGAGAGGUUGAUUUAGGAAUUUGAAUACAAGGUAAUAUGGAUACGACGUCGUCUGUUCGAUCCAUUGAUCAGGCUAUCGAAGAGAUCAUGAGAAUUCACAGAUCGUUACCGACGAGACCUGGGAUCGAUGAGGUGGAAGCUGCCAAGACGUUGAUUCUAAAUGUUGACAAAGAAGACCAGGCGAGACUUGAAUCCAUUUCCAGGCAAACCAAGAGCCCUGAUGUACCCCAAGAGCUCUUUACAAUCUUGCAGGAGAUGCAGAAGAAUUUGGUUUAUUUCCAGAGCAAGGAGCAGAAGAGGGAGGCUAUGAAAUUGCUCGAUCUCGAAAGUGUUCACGCUCUGUUUGAUGAAUUUAUCCAGAGAGCUUCCAAAUGCUUGCAUUCUACUUCAACUUUGUCCUCUUCUUCCUCCUCCAACGGCUCUGCUUCUACAGUUUCUUGCAGCGGUUUCUCUAGGGCCACUGCGCCAACUUCCGUUAACAAAUCUUCUAUUACUGCACCAUCGAACUUAUAUUAUUCUGAGAAAAAUCCUGCGAGGCCUGCGGAAUUUUUUACCCGAGACGAUAGUUAUGUGAAGAAGGCCAAGUCGUCCUUUUACUCUGAUGGAACUGGCGUUUCGUCCAUGCCCCAUAUAGUGGAUUCCACUCUGAAAACGACUGUAACUACUACAGGACAAGAUGGUGACAAGUUGAGUCUAAUAAAGCUUGCUAGUUUAAUUGAAGUCUCUGCCAAGAAAAACACUCGAGAUCUCAAUCUCCAAAACAAAUUGAUGGAUCAGAUUGAAUGGCUACCUGAUUCAAUAGGCAAGUUGUCAACGUUGGUUUCCCUAGAUUUGUCUGAGAACAGGAUAGUGGCCCUCCCAGCCACUAUUGGAGGCCUUUCGUCCUUGACAAAGUUGGAUUUGCAUUCUAACAGAAUUGCUGAACUCCCAGAAUCUAUUGGAGAUCUUCUUAGCCUAGUCUUUUUGGACCUUAGGGCUAACCAGCUAUCAUCUCUGCCUGCUACCUUUGGCAGAUUGGUACGCCUUCAGGAGCUUGAUUUGAGCUCAAAUCGGCUCUCUUUGCUUCCUGAGUCUAUUGGUUCACUUAUUAGCUUGAAGAAGCUAAAUGUGGAGACCAAUGAUAUUGAAGAACUUCCUCACACAAUUGGCCGAUGUUCUUCACUAAGGGAGCUUUAUGCAGAUUAUAACAGGCUUAAGGCACUCCCAGAAGCUGUAGGAAAGAUAGAAACCUUAGAGGUUUUGUCUGUGCGUUAUAAUAACAUCAAACAGCUACCUACAACUAUGUCAUCUCUAUCAAACCUGAAGGAGCUCGAUGUGAGUUUCAAUGAGCUUGAGUCAGUGCCUGAGAGCUUGUGUUUUGCCACCUCACUUGUCAAGAUGAAUAUAGGAAACAAUUUUGCUGAUUUACAGUCCCUUCCAAGAUCUAUUGGGAACCUUGAGAAUCUCGAAGAGCUGGAUAUUAGCAACAACCAGAUACGAGCUCUUCCAGACUCUUUCCGGAUGCUAACACGACUACGUGUCCUACGUGUGGAAGAAAAUCCUUUGGAAGUGCCACCAAGACAUAUCGCUGAAAAAGGUGCUCAGGCUGUUGUUCAAUACAUGGUUGAGCUUGUUGAAAAGAGGGAUGUGAAGACACAAGUCAUGAAGCAGAAAAAGAGUUGGGCUCAGAUCUGCUUCUUUUCAAGGUCUAACAAAAGGAAGCGCAAUGGUAUGGACUAUGUGAAAGCUUGAUUGCACAAAUAUAACAAGACGAUGACAGGACCUUGAUGUUGGGGAUUUAACAGUUUAUAAAGCCUGAGAUCCUAAUGCAACUAAAAAUCCAUCCAUCAAACAGGGGACUCGGUUUGUAAAUCAUGGCUCUUACUCUUGCUUCUUAAACUGUAGAUUUACAUUUUUUUCCCUCCUUUUAUUAUUUUUGUACUGUAUUAAUUGGUUCCAAUUUUACUUGAUUUGUAUCUGUUGUUCUUGAACUGUAAUGAGGUGUACAAUUCAGCCGGCAGAUAGGAGAGGAAGAAUAUACGGUUUUCUGUGUCCCUCAUUGUUACGGGUGACUUUCUCCGCCAUUCAUUCAGACUAUGACAAUGCAAAUUAUGUAUACAGACAUUCAUGGCCUAGUAGUAGAAGGCAUUAUCAAUUUGCCAUUCAUAUUUCAUUUGCUAAUAGCUAUACUUCACUGUGCCUUUCUUUCUUGCUGGAAAAGAUCGUGAUGUUGGUGUUCCGUGCAUUUUGAUUUUAGACUCUUUUUUAAGUCGUGAGGAAAAAAAAAAAGAUGUUACAAGGCAAAUCAGUUAUUUCUUGUUUCCUUUACAA